Molecule: transfer RNA, 73 nt
Filed under: Pseudonocardiales bacterium
Lineage: Bacteria; Bacillati; Actinomycetota; Actinomycetes; Pseudonocardiales
Also listed under: 2 other names
Description: tRNA-Ala
Rfam family: tRNA
About the family: Transfer RNA (tRNA) molecules are approximately 80 nucleotides in length. Their secondary structure includes four short double-helical elements and three loops (D, anti-codon, and T loops).
Source: RNAcentral
GGGGGCGUGGCGCAACUGGCAGCGCACCUGCUUUGCAAGCAGGGGGUUACGGGUUCGAGUCCCGUCGCCUCCA